AUCGCUUCUCGGCCUUAUGGCUAAGAUCAAAGUGUAGUAUCUGUUCUUAUCAGCUUAAUAUCUGGUACGCUGCCCAUAGGGCGGUCAGAAUAUUAAUCUGUUUUUUGUAAAUUGACGGAGUGUUGGGGCUUGCUCCACCUCUGUCGCGAGUCGGCUCGGCAUUGCAGUACCGCUGAGAUUGGCUCUAAUUAA
Small nuclear RNA from Megalopta genalis, 192 nucleotides. RefSeq annotates it as U2 spliceosomal RNA. Lineage: Eukaryota; Metazoa; Arthropoda; Insecta; Hymenoptera; Halictidae. The record is from RefSeq and is a predicted model, not a curated record.